RNAcentral lists this small nuclear RNA (21 nucleotides) under Arabidopsis thaliana (thale cress). RNAcentral describes it as "snRNA_00645". Lineage: Eukaryota; Viridiplantae; Streptophyta; Magnoliopsida; Brassicales; Brassicaceae. The record is from RNAcentral.
UGCAGCCCCAAUCGGGCGGUA